CCUACGGGAGGCUGCAGUCGAGAAUCUUCCGCAAUGGGCGAAAGCCUGACGGAGCGACAUCGCGUGGUCGAUGAAGUCCUUAGGGACGUAAAGACCUUUUAUAGAUGAAGAAAUCAUUGACAUUAGUCUAUGAAUAAGGGGCUCCUAACUCUGUGCCAGCAGGAGCGGUAAUACAGAGGCCCCAAGCGUUAUCCGGAAUUAUUGGGCGUAAAGGGUGUGUAGGUGGUUGUAUUAGUCCUUUGUUAAAACUUCUGGCUCAACUGGAAGUUCGCGGGGGAAACGGUACAACUAGAGGGUGUGAGAGGUCUACGGAACUCAUGGAGUAGGGGUGAAAUCCGUUGAUAUCAUGAGGAACACCAAAAGCGAAGGCAGUAGGCUAGCGCACUCCUGACACUGAAACACGAAAGCGUGGGUAGCGAAAGGGAUUAGAUACCCUUGUAGUC
This 443-nucleotide ribosomal RNA is filed under the name uncultured microorganism. RNAcentral's name for it is "bacterial SSU rRNA". It matches the Rfam family "Bacterial small subunit ribosomal RNA", at positions 338 to 795 of the family's 1533-position model. The record is from RNAcentral.